ACAGUAGUUUUCCAAUAGGUCGAGCAUGUGCUGAAACUGUGUGUACAGAGUUCUCAUAAACACACAGUUUCAGCAUAUGCUGGAUCUACUUGAAGACUACUGU
Arabidopsis thaliana (thale cress) is the source of this 103-nucleotide microRNA precursor. It matches the Rfam family "MIR862 microRNA precursor family". Lineage: Eukaryota; Viridiplantae; Streptophyta; Magnoliopsida; Brassicales; Brassicaceae. The record is from Rfam.